CCUACGGGAGGCAGCAGUGGGGAAUAUUGGUCAAUGGGCGCGAGCCUGAACCAGCAAAGUCGCGUGAAGGAUGACUGCCCUCCGGGUUGUAAACUUCUUUUAUAAAGGAAUAAAGUGAGGCACGUGUGCCUUUUUGUAUGUACUUUAUGAAUAAGGAUCGGCUAAAUCCGUGCCAGCAGCCGCGGUAAUACGGAGGAUCCGAGCGUUAUCCGGAUUUAUUGGGUUUAAAGGGAGCGUAGAUGGGUUGUUAAGUCAGUUGUGAAAGUUUGCGGCUCAACCGUAAAAUUGCAAUUGAUACUGGCAGCCUUGAGUGCAGUUGAGGUAGGCGGAAUUCGUGGUGUAGCGGUGAAAUGCGUAGAUAUCACGAAGAACUCCGAUUGCGAAGGCAGCCUACUAGACUGCCACUGACAUUGAUGCUCGAAAGUGUGGGUAUCAAACAGGAUUAGAUACCCCAGUAGUC
Molecule: ribosomal RNA, 460 nt
Filed under: uncultured bacterium
Lineage: Bacteria
Description: partial 16S ribosomal RNA
Rfam family: Bacterial small subunit ribosomal RNA
Source: RNAcentral